CCUACGGGAGGCAGCAGUGAGGAAUAUUGGUCAAUGGACGAGAGUCUGAACCAGCCAAGUAGCGUGAAGGAUGACUGCCCUAUGGGUUGUAAACUUCUUUUAUAUGGGAAUAAAAUGUUCCACGUGUGGGAUUUUGUAUGUACCAUAUGAAUAAGGAUCGGCUAACUCCGUGCCAGCAGCCGCGGUAAUACGGAGGAUCCGAGCGUUAUCCAGAUUUAUUGGGUUUAAAGGGAGCGUAGGUGGAUUGUUAAGUCAGUUGUGAAAGUUUGCGGCUCAACCGUAAAAUUGCAGUUGAAACUGGCAGUCUUGAGUACAGUAGAGGUGGGCGGAAUUCGUGGUGUAGCGGUGAAAUGCUUAGAUAUCACGAAGAACUCCGAUUGCGAAGGCAGUUCACUGGACUGCAACUGACACUGAGGCUCGAAAGUGUGGGUAUCAAACAGGAUUAGAUACCCCUGUAGUC
RNAcentral lists this ribosomal RNA (460 nucleotides) under uncultured bacterium. RNAcentral's name for it is "partial 16S ribosomal RNA". It matches the Rfam family "Bacterial small subunit ribosomal RNA", at positions 338 to 795 of the family's 1533-position model. The record is from RNAcentral.